RNAcentral lists this non-coding RNA (45 nucleotides) under Trichobilharzia regenti. The record is from RNAcentral. Lineage: Eukaryota; Metazoa; Platyhelminthes; Trematoda; Strigeidida; Schistosomatidae.
AUCAGAAUGACGAGUCCUAAAUAGAACGAAAUGCGCAUCCUGGAU